RNAcentral lists this ribosomal RNA (423 nucleotides) under uncultured bacterium. Its description in RNAcentral is "bacterial SSU rRNA". It matches the Rfam family "Bacterial small subunit ribosomal RNA", at positions 32 to 438 of the family's 1533-position model. The record is from RNAcentral.
AAUCAACGCUGGCGGCGUGCCUAACACAUGCAAGUCGAACGCGACUGGGGCUUCGGCCUCAGUUGAGUGGCGAACGGGUGAGUAACACGUGGGUGACCUACCUUCGAAUGGGGGAUAACGUCCCGAAGGGACGCUAAUACCGCAUAACAUCCUGCCUUUGAACAGGCGGGAGGAUACAAAGCCGGGGAUCGCAAGACCUGGCGUUUGAAGAGGGGCCUGCGUCCGAUUAGCUAGUUGGUGAGGUAACGGCUCACCAAGGCGACGAUCGGUAGCCGGCCUGAGAGGGCGGACGGCCACACUGGGACUGAGACACGGCCAGACUCCUACGGGAGGCAGCAGUGGGGAAUUGUUCGCAAUGGGCGCAAGCCUGACGACGCAACGCCGCGUGGAGGAUGAAGGUCUUCGGAUGGUAAACUCCUGUUG